Lycium ferocissimum is the source of this 4777-nucleotide long non-coding RNA. RefSeq lists it as uncharacterized. The record is from RefSeq and is a predicted model, not a curated record. The transcript has 3 exons. NCBI's taxonomy places the organism in Eukaryota, Viridiplantae, Streptophyta, Magnoliopsida, Solanales, Solanaceae.
CAUCUUAAAUAUUUUCUGCAUUGACGCUAUGUUUUGCUUUAAGUUUCAAAGUUUUGGUACUACUCCUCCUUGACUUUUUCGAACAUUUGCAAAUUUGUUCAUCAAAUGGUUGUAAUCAGUCACUGAAUUCAAUCCUUCCUAAUGAGGACAUAUUAUUAUGUUAGUUUUCUUUUCGAUAAGGAAUUAUUGUGUCAAUUUUCCUUUCUACCUUUUAUUCAGUAGCCACUUCAAACUUGGAAGGUUACCAUAAAUUAUUCAGUAGCCACUUCAAACUUGGAAGGUUACCAUAGCCACUUGUUAAGAAAGGUAGAAAGGAAAAUUAACACAAUAAUUGCUUAUCGAAAAGAAAACUAACUUAAUAAUAUGUCCUCAUUAGGAAGGAUUGGAAUUCAGUGACUGAUUACAACCAUUUGAUGAACAAAUUUGCAAAUGUUCGAGAAAGUCAAGGAGGAGUAGUACCAAAACUUUGAAACUUAAAGCAAAACAUAGCGUCAAUGCAGAAAAAUAUUUAAGAUGUUUAGCUCACCUUUAAUAAUGAUCCAAAUAUGAUCUUCCGAACCGCCUUGUCGACCCAUUACGCAAGUCCAUAUUCUUGAGAGCUGGCGUUCUGAUCGUAAGGCCUCUCAAGAAGAGCUUUGACAUUUCUCCUGAAGUAAGGCAUAGUCUUCAUCUACAUCAGCUGCCUCACCCUGACGACGCCUCUUUAAUGCACCAUUCGCAAGCCCUUUUCCCUUCUGAGUAACAGGACCAAAAGGCUCAAUAUCACUGUCAUUUUCGAGGACAGCUCUUGAAAAUGGCUGAUUUUCUACUUUAUCUGAAUCCUUCUCAUCCCCAGCGUCUUGUUGUUUCCCCCCUCCUAAAUGUUCGUACUCUUCAUCUGAUCCAUCUUAUUUCUCGUUAUCUACACACAGAGGAAACCCAUCGCUUCUAUCGAUCUUGAGCACAUAUGAGUUCCCUUUUGGCUUAGAAUUAGCCAAAAACUUCUUGUAAUCUGGAUCAUCCUCAUCCUCGUUUUCGUGCUCAUACUCGUCCACAUCAUUAUUAAGCUUAUCUCUAACAACAGCGGAACCUUCAUUUCCGCCUUCAUUUGUGGACUCUUUAUGAUAGUCAAGGGAAAGCAUUAAAAAGUGCAUAAUCUUCAUCGGUAUCCGUCGAUUCUCUGAUCUCCCUUUUGAAACUGAGUGCACUCUCUCUCGAUAAACAUUGAACUUCAUACAUAACUCCAAGAGGUGUCACGCCAUUUUAAUGGGAUUAAGCUUUUAAUAACAAACAGAUCAGACCAACAGUGAAGUAUGGAAACGGAGGAAAAGAGCUGAUGUUCAUUCCCAAGUUCAGCCCCAGCAUCAAAGAACUUUGAAAAUGGUACACGCCUUCCUGAAUUGAACUUAUCGUCAGGGAUUCUUGGUGCAGCUCCUUUAGAUAUCCAACAGUCGGUACUGGUAGGCUUACAGAACACAUCAGUCUGGCCUGCCCAAAGACCAGGUUUCUUGUCCGGUCCCAGAUAGAUCUCCUACUGGACAUAAACUGCCAUGGUGGUACCCCUGCAGGGAAGCCAUUCAAUUUUAUCUCAGUGGCUUGAGCUGCUUCGGUCUAUAUUCUUUACCUGGAAUUGCGUUGGCCCAUGGGAAUACAAAGUUUUGCCUAUUCCUUGGUGACACAUCUGCUAUUCUGAAGCAACUCUAAACCAGCGGAUUGCAUCAUUUAGAAGCCAGAAGCAGUGAACUCGGAGGCCCUUUCCUAGAUCCAGGGGAUGAAGAUUUGGAUAUUUUGAAAUUUGUAGGGCACAAAUUUUUUCCCAUUAUAGAUAAAAUCCCCAUCUUUUUUUGUUUUGACGUAUAUAGUGGAUAGUGAAAGAGCAUUUCCCUAGGUCAUAUGUGACAUUACGUCACAGUCUGUAUAUAUUAUGCUUUACGCGAAGUGUACAUUGUCAAAUUUUGCUUAUUCAAUAACUCAACAUUAUUCAUUAUAACUGUGCUCCACUUGAUUAGUUCUCUUUUCUCUGUCAACUAGCUUUCUGCAUUUACUGGUUUCUUCUGGCACUAUGCCAAUGGGUUUUUACCAGGUUUAGAGUUUUUACUUUUCUAUCUGGCAUUACUAUAAGGUACAGCUCACAUAUAUAUACUUGUCAGCAGAGCUCACAUCCAAAUUCUUUACUGUGUUGAGGGGCUUUGUUUUAACUGCUGAUCUUGUUACUGAUUCAGUUGUAGUGCUGAUGAAGUCACGAACAAAUAUCAUCAACGAUAAUCAGUCCGAUGAGGAUAUGGCUGAGUUGUUUCAUAGUGUAGCAGCUAUGGAUAUUACAUUCCAAGCCUCAAGGUGUGUGUUUUGGCAUUUUGUUUUGUUUUACAUUUAUUUAUGGUGCCUUUAUUUAUUGUUGUUUGUUCCAUUAAGGUAUUGUUAGCAUUGAAUUUUUUGUUAGGAAACUGAUAAUGGACGGCAUGUGAAUCGACUGAGGAAGCAUCAAUCAAGUGAAGUUAGGAGAUUGGUGAAGAUGCUUGUGAGGUUUGAUUUUUUCAUGAAUUUUAUUAUGAUUUUAGUUGAAUGAAGCAGUUAAAGAAUAGUUACAGCUGCUGCAAGCUUAUGUGAUCCCUUUUUUUGCAAGGAGUUUCUGGUUUGCUUUGAUUCUUUUCUUUCUUUCUUCUUUUUGUGCCAGAAAAGGAAAAUUGUUGAUGAUUGGUAAUAUCAUCUACAAAAGCCGAUUUUAGUCUCUCCUUUAUGUUUAGAAGCUACAAUGUGGGCUAGAGUUGAGGUUAAGGGCAAUAGCACAGAAAGGAAUUGACAAAGAAAAAUGAUAUGGGUUCUGCUGAGUUGAUUUACUGCUCUCAUUUUACUCUAAUUUAGAAGCGACAGUUGGUGUGUACAAACACCGCACAAGUUACUUGUACGAAAAGCAAUGUAAAUUGUGCCAUGGGGUGUGCCAACAAGGGCCCAUUUAACGACAGCAUCAUUUAAUAUGGGCAUUUUCGUUCCCACUUACAGCCCUUUGAUUUAUCUUCUAGGUUACACGUGUUUAUAGAGGUUGGACAACUGGCUUCAUUCAUGACGUAGCAGUUCUAAUGAUCUUCUUCUUAGGAUUACCCCGGCUCUAUUUGGUCACUCCUAUUUUUUUUUUUUUUUUUUUUUUUUUUUUUUUUUUUUUUUUGGCUUCUUUCCACUCUCAAUUUCUGUCUCAUUCUCACAUUCGGUGAUUUAAGUUUCUGUUUUUCUCUUUCCCAGUUUCAUCACCUCCUUGCGCAAGCUUUGAGUUCUUCUCUUCCAGUGACAUGUACCUGUUGCAGUUCAUAUUUGAUUUUAUUUUGUCUCCAAUUUUAGUAUUUCUUCUUUCUUUGUAGGGUAUAUUCUGAAAUAGAUGUCUUGGUGCAUGUUCUGGUACCGUGUUACUUUUGAUUUGGGUUUGGUAAAAUGGUGUUUAGAGGGUGAUAUUGGUACAAGAAAUAAACCAGAAUACCCAAUCUAUUUAGGAAAUAAAGAAUUGUGAGAGGAGGUUUUCGUAGAAAAGAUUAAAACAAAAUACUUUCUUUUGGCAAUAUAGAAAUAUUUAAAGCAUGUCAAUUUUGUUCCUUCUCAGCUUUCCUUUCAUGUCUCUUGAACAUAUAUGUGAGGACUAUGAUAUCAUGAUCUAAGGCUAUUGCACGUACUGUUUUGUCAUUUUUUGUGAUUUUUCUUUUGAAUUGUUGCGAUGUACUUUGAAAAAUAAAAUGGGGCACGAAGUAGCUUGCUUUUCAGGUCUUAAUCUCUAUGUACUCCCUUGAAUAAACUUGUCUUAAUCUCUAUGUACUCCCUUGAAUAAACUUUCUUUUUUGUGCUAAUCUAAUCUUUUGACUUUGCAGAAUGCAUUCCAGAUAACAUAUUUUCAAUGGAUAUGGGUAAUAAUUCUUCUCCUAUGUCAAAGAUCAAAUCCUGAUAUCGCUAGAUUGUCUUUUUGUUUUUGUUUGUGCCAUAAAAUAUGGUUGAUAUGAGGAUUCUACUUUUUCUGUAGUAUGAGUAUGGGGUGAAAUCAUGCUUCCACGAGGCGUUUGAGAUGGUCAUUGCAAAAAUAGUUGUAGGGUAUGUUUCUUCAUUCUUGCUAGCAGAAACUCAACUUUGGUGCAUUUACUAUCUUAGUUCCUAAGCUUAGCGAAUCCAGUUUGCUCUUGUUAAUCCAAUUUGCCAUUUAUAUUACUGGGUAGGAGUCUUAUUCGUAUGCGGUUAUAUCCCCCUUCCUCUUUAUGCUCUUAUAACUCAGGUACCAUCACAGACCUAUGUAUCUACAUUUUAUUAUUGUCCCAGAUUACCUUGCACAUUUGCUAUUGCUUUGUCAAGAGAUGAAAGUUCACGACAUGAAACUACUGAUGUUUCUAGUCUUUUAGCAUGAUUUGCUGUUAAUUUAGAAAAAAGCAUUUGCCUUUUUGUAGAUGGGAUCCCAUAUGAAAAAAUCCUUCUUUGUUGGGCAAACCUCCAAGGCACUGAAGUAGUGCAUAUGACUAGGCUUAAUAGAGAGCUCUCUUUUGUAUCCAUCAUGAUUGAAUUUUGAUCACUUGUGGCUUGAUUCAUUUUAUUUUGUAGGCACGGGAUAUAAGAAGUACGUCUCAUCGCCUAACAACCCAAAAAGGGUCACAAAAUGGAAGCAACACCACAAAUUCAUGCAGAGUGGUCAUUGAACAUUAUUUAGGAUUUAUUGUAGUUAAUGCCCCUGUUGCAUUGAAUGGAUGUAAAAUACAACUCAAAGUUUUAAUACAUUUUAUGAUGUAAUUUGAAGUACUUAUGAGUUCUAGUAUAUAUAACGAAUGAUUUACUU